This is a long non-coding RNA of Poecilia latipinna (sailfin molly), 278 nucleotides long. RefSeq lists it as uncharacterized. The record is from RefSeq and is a predicted model, not a curated record. Lineage: Eukaryota; Metazoa; Chordata; Actinopteri; Cyprinodontiformes; Poeciliidae. The transcript has 2 exons.
AGAUGACGUCUGCAAACACACAGACUCUCCAGCUCUAUUCCUCACGUCGGCCUGGCUGGCGAUGGUACCAACAUCCGUGGAGAACAAAGUUGGUUAUCUUUGUCCACGAAAAACCUACACAGGCAUCUAAGGAGCAUCCUUUCGGUGUGGAGAAGCAGUGACUCUACUCUUACCUCCCUGAUGAAGGAGAUCCUCACUCAGUUUUAAGGUAAAACAGGGUAACUUGUAGAGAAAGCUCAUUUUUGUUGGCUAAAUGUCUUAAAAUAUAGCUUAUCUUU